RNAcentral lists this non-coding RNA (23 nucleotides) under Cricetulus griseus (Chinese hamster). The record is from RNAcentral. Lineage: Eukaryota; Metazoa; Chordata; Mammalia; Rodentia; Cricetidae.
GAAAGAGGGAGAUAAUGUAGAAA